Molecule: ribosomal RNA, 253 nt
Filed under: uncultured bacterium
Lineage: Bacteria
Description: partial 16S ribosomal RNA
Rfam family: Bacterial small subunit ribosomal RNA
Source: RNAcentral
UACGAGGGGGGCGAGCGUUGUUCGGAAUUAUUGGGCGUAAAGGGUGCGUAGGCGGUUCCGCAAGUCCUGUGUGAAAUCUUCGGGCUCAACUCGAAGUCUGCACGGGAAACUGCGGGGCUUGAGUGUGGGAGAGGUGAGUGGAAUUCCCGGUGUAGCGGUGAAAUGCGUAGAUAUCAGGAGGAACACCGAUGGCGAAGGCAGGUCUCUGGGCUGACACUGACGCUCAUGCACGAAAGCGUGGGGAGCAAACAGG